This 18-nucleotide transfer RNA is filed under the name Pterocarpus marsupium. Its description in RNAcentral is "partial tRNA-His". Lineage: Eukaryota; Viridiplantae; Streptophyta; Magnoliopsida; Fabales; Fabaceae. The record is from RNAcentral.
GCGGAUGUAGCCCAAUUC